UGGGAGGCAGCGGUGCGGAUG
Molecule: unclassified non-coding RNA, 21 nt
Filed under: Chlamydomonas reinhardtii
Lineage: Eukaryota; Viridiplantae; Chlorophyta; Chlorophyceae; Chlamydomonadales; Chlamydomonadaceae
Description: small RNA Cre_3360
Source: RNAcentral